CCAGCAUUCAAAGGAAUGCUGGAGCAGAGAAGUCAUCCAGGCUAGUGGGUGGAAAUUGAAACGUGACAGAGCCGACAGGAUGAACACUCAAGGGCAGACGAGAAGGGACUCAUGAAGUAAGUGGUUAGUGCGGGGUGAGAAGUGGUUUGAAGGCUACCUCAGUGUCAGGAGUCACCUACAUAGGCUAGCAGGUGAUUUUCCUAAAGGUGGCCCUGCCAUUUUUGCAUGGUCUUUGAUGGGUGAGCUCUAAGAGGCAAGGCCCAAAAGAGACAUCAUCUCAGCAUUUCUUCUUAGAGCUGGUAAAUCUUUUCUGUCACUGUCAAAUUAAUAUAACAAUCCCUGGGUCUUAGCCCACCCUCUUGGGCAGAUUUUCUGCAGAUCAGCAAAGAUGUACUCUCUUGUGGCAAUGCUAUGUAGACAAGUAGAUGAUUUCAUAAUUCCUAAUAAUGAGUAUAUAGAAUUCCUAAAUUUAUACAAGUAAAAUUUGAGCCCUUUAUAACAUAGGCUGCAACUAGGACUGUGCAAACCUUAUGUGUCUCAGGGCUAAUUGCACUGAGAUAGAAAGCCAUCUUGAAACAGAUUUAUGAUCAAGGAAAACAUUCCUUUUAGGCUGGUUGUAAAACCACUAUCUGAUAACUAGAGGUGUAAGGAUAAAAAAAUAUAAAAUAUUGUCUGGUUUAUUAUACAAAACUUCAAUACUAACAAGACACAAGGCAGGUGAUUUGCCUCUUGACAAAACCACGCUAACUUGAGACAUAAGAAUUGUUGUUUUAAACUCCUAAUGAACCUGUGGAGCUAGUGACAGAUAAUGGAUGUUUAAUUAGAUAGCCAGUCUUAAUGGAAACUCCUGUAAUAACCUAUUCAAUUUUUGGUUUGCAUUUAUGUUUGAACUUGGCUAUGAACUUAUAAAAAAGGAUGCUUUAGAAUGUCAUGUGAUCGUGUCCUGAAAAAGUGCAAGAACUAGGAGGGAUGACAAGGAGAGAGCAGAAGAGAGAGAAGGCAGAAGAGAGAGGAGAAAGUGAGCAGAGAGAGGAGAGAGAGAGAGAGAGAGAGAGAGAGAGAGCGAGCACAGAGACAGAGAGGGGUGUGUGUGUGUGUGUGUGUGUGUGUGUGUGUGUGUGUGUAAGCAUGGAUACUUGUGGAGUGGAAGAAACAGGCGGUUGGACUAGACAAAAAUGUAAAUAUGAGGGGUUGGGGAUUUAGCUCAGUGGUAGAGCGCUUGCCUAGCAAGCGCAAGGCCCUGGGUUCGGUCCCCAGCUCCAAAAAAAUGUAAAUAUGUCUCUGAAUGUGUGUGUGUAUACAUGUGUAUAAAUUUCUGUGCAUACUUGCUUAUGUAAAAGUUUUUCUUUCUACAAGUUGACUUUGUUUUCCUGGUUCACUAAAGGUAAAUUGCUCUAAGAUGCCCUCUCACAUAGGCACUGAGAAGUGAGGUUUCCGUGCAAGACAGAAAGGAGCCUUAGCACUAAAUCCUCCACUGAAUUCCCUGCUGCCAUACAGCCUGUGUUAGUUGACAGAGAAUUAUAACGUAAGUUUAUAAAGUUAGACUUAAGUUUUCCAGCGCUUACCCAAGCACUGAGAAUUAUAAAGCAAAUAGUAAGAGAUAAAGACAUAAGCCUCUCCAGUGCUUCAUGAGGCACAGAACAGGAAGAAAGAGUUAAGUUCCCUACGAGGCCAGAGGUCAUCAGUCCUUUGGCCUACAUCUGAUGCUGUGUCUGGCUUCAACCCAUUCCAGCUGGAUCAGGCAUUUUGGGUUCCCUCUGUUAUCAACCCUCCACCCUGCCUUCCUCUUUCUCUCUCUGGAGUGGCUCCUUCAGCUGCUGUAGAGACUAUUCGCUUGUCACUUGCUGUCCUGGGACUACUGCCUAACCCAAGAGGAACCUCCGUCUAGGCCAUCCUCAGAUCCUGAGUUCUCUGGGUCUCCUGGAAGACAACUUUGUACACAGAACCACGUGCACAGGGGCUGAGGAAAUCAGAUCAUAGAAGUAUUCUGGGAAGGAAAACAUCAGACGAGAAUGAAGAAAAGCCUCAGGAAGGACUUUCAGAUUCCCUGACCCAACACUGCCCAAUAUGAGUCACCUCAGAGGCGGGAAGGUCCAUUGCCUCAGUCCUACGGCUUGUUUGCCCCACAAUGCUGUCCAAGAUGCAGUCAUGAGGGCCACAUUCAAGUCUUCCAUCAAAGACCAUGAGGCAGGGUCUCCCAAUUUCUAUUGACACAGGCAUGGUUCCUCCGGCCAAAAUUGCCCUUUCUUCGUUUGUGUUAUUCUGAGCACCAUUCUUCCUCUGUGUCUGCCUCCCUCUGUGUGUCUGUGGUGUAUCAGAGCCCAGGAUCUGAGCCCUCCGCUUCUCCGUCAGUCUGGGAUCUGCACGGCAGCCAGGGAAGACCAGACCACAAAGAGCUGUGUUCUCUUGGGGAAGAGACACUGCCCCUACCAGGAAGCUGGAGGCUGAGUGGCUGGAGGGGCUCUCAGAGG
Long non-coding RNA from Rattus norvegicus (Norway rat), 2471 nucleotides. RefSeq lists it as uncharacterized. NCBI's taxonomy places the organism in Eukaryota, Metazoa, Chordata, Mammalia, Rodentia, Muridae. The record is from RefSeq and is a predicted model, not a curated record.